AGCAAUGCCACCAAACGAUUGGGAGAAAGUUUGUGAUCUUUUUGAAGAUUCUGCUUAUCAGCAACGGAGUACGGUGAACAGAGCAAAUAGAUCAAAUUUAACGAUACACCAUCAUGCGGGUUCUCGAUCUUUUCAUCGCUUGUAAAAAAAAAUGCAAAAAGAAAAUCCUGCUAAUUAUGAUUUGACCCAAUUGUAUGCUAAAGUACAUAAA
Molecule: long non-coding RNA, 211 nt
Organism: Carya illinoinensis
Lineage: Eukaryota; Viridiplantae; Streptophyta; Magnoliopsida; Fagales; Juglandaceae
Exons: 3
Source: RefSeq, a predicted model, not a curated record